GCAUUUAUGGCCAAGAGGUCGAAGGCUCCAGACUCAUAAUCUGGCACACAAACGUCGUUGGUUCGAAUCCAACUAAAUGCA
This 81-nucleotide transfer RNA is filed under the name Karenia mikimotoi. RNAcentral's name for it is "tRNA-Met". It matches the Rfam family "tRNA". Rfam says of the family: Transfer RNA (tRNA) molecules are approximately 80 nucleotides in length. Lineage: Eukaryota; Dinophyceae; Gymnodiniales; Kareniaceae. The record is from RNAcentral.